UCGAGGAUCAUUUGCAAUGGGCGAAAGCCUGACAAUGCGACGCUGCGUGGAGGAUGAAGGCCUUCGGGUUGUAAACUCCUGUCAUAAGGGAACAGGCGACGGUACCCAAUACGUACCUGAGUUGAGUGUACUUUAAGAGGAAGCGACGGCUAACUCUGUGCCAGCAGCCGCGGUAAUACAGAGGUCGCAAGCGUUGUUCGGAUUUACUGGGCGUAAAGGGCGCGUAGGCGGUCUUGCGUGUCAGAUGUGAAAUCUCCGGGCUCAACCCGGAAAGUGCGUCUGAAACUACAGGACUCGAGUCUGGGAGAGGGAAUCGGAAUAUAGGGUGUAGCGGUGAAAUGCGUUGAUAUCCUAUAGAACACCGGAGGCGAAGGCGGAUU
This 380-nucleotide ribosomal RNA is filed under the name uncultured bacterium. Its description in RNAcentral is "bacterial SSU rRNA". It matches the Rfam family "Bacterial small subunit ribosomal RNA", at positions 355 to 727 of the family's 1533-position model. The record is from RNAcentral.